This 75-nucleotide transfer RNA is filed under the name Clostridia bacterium. RNAcentral's name for it is "tRNA-Cys". It matches the Rfam family "tRNA". From Rfam's summary of the family: Transfer RNA (tRNA) molecules are approximately 80 nucleotides in length. Their secondary structure includes four short double-helical elements and three loops (D, anti-codon, and T loops). Further hydrogen bonds mediate the characteristic L-shaped molecular structure. tRNAs have two regions of fundamental functional importance: the anti-codon, which is responsible for specific mRNA codon recognition, and the 3' end, to which the tRNAs corresponding amino acid is attached (by aminoacyl-tRNA synthetases). tRNAs cope with the degeneracy of the genetic code in two manners: having more than one tRNA (with a specific anti-codon) for a particular amino acid; and 'wobble' base-pairing, i.e. permitting non-standard base-pairing at the 3rd anti-codon position. Lineage: Bacteria; Bacillati; Bacillota; Clostridia. The record is from RNAcentral.
GGCGUCAUAGCCAAGUGGUAAGGCACGGGCCUGCAAAGCCCCGACUCCCCGGUUCAAAUCCGGGUGACGCCUCCA